Molecule: ribosomal RNA, 392 nt
Filed under: Tonsilla sp. CL046
Lineage: Eukaryota; Metazoa; Arthropoda; Arachnida; Araneae; Agelenidae
Description: partial 16S ribosomal RNA
Source: RNAcentral
CUCAAUGAUAUUUAAUAGCCGCAAUAUUUAUUGUGCUAAGGUAGCAUAAUCAUUCGUUUUUUAAUUGAAAACUAGAAUGAAAGAUUUAACAUUUUAAUUUCUAUCAUAUAUAUAAUAUAUUAAACUUAUUUUAAAUAUAAAAAAAUAUUUAUUAUUAAAAAAGACGAUAAGACCCUAUUGAACUUAACUUAAGUUAAACUGGGGCAGUUAAUUAAAUACAAUUUUAAUUAAAAUUUUUAAAAAACCUAAUACAAUUAAAUUAAUCAAGUUACCUUAGGGAUAACAGCGUAAUAAUUUAUUCAAGAUCUUAUUUAAAAAAUUGAUUGCGACCUCGAUGUUGAAUUAAUAAUCUAUUAAAUGCAAUAAUUUAAAUAUGAAAGUCUGUUCGACUU